This is a long non-coding RNA of Drosophila novamexicana, 414 nucleotides long. RefSeq lists it as uncharacterized. The record is from RefSeq and is a predicted model, not a curated record. NCBI's taxonomy places the organism in Eukaryota, Metazoa, Arthropoda, Insecta, Diptera, Drosophilidae. The transcript has 3 exons.
AUAGAUAUUGUUUGGGUACAUUUGAGUAUAUUUACUGUAAGGAAACAUAAGAUUUCGGAACCUCAACAACACAGAACAGGGUAUCUGCUAGCCGAGGAAGUGCUAUUUUUUAUUUGAUACCCUCAAGCAGAUAAAACCAGAAACGAAAAAAAUUGAGCGCUAAAAAAUGUGUAAAAUGGGUGAAUAACGCGUUUUUAAAGGCAGCAAAAGAAGUGAAAAAUAAAUGAAAAACAUUUGAAAGAGUUAAACGCCUUCAACAUUAAAUUAUUAGGGUAUUUUUAUUUGCAGAGACCAUAAAAAGUAUAAUUGCAGUAAAUAUGAAGGAAUUUGCGCCAUUGUUACCAGGACUGCAACAACAAGCCCAAGUGGCAUACAAAGAGAACAGCUUUAUCUAUUGAACAGAGUAAGAGUCCU